GGGAGAGAUGAAGAGAGGGGAAUGGAAGGUAGUGGGGCAAUGUAAACAUGGGGAGAGAGGGGUAGGAAGGUAAUGGGGCAAUGUAAACAUGGGGAGAGAGGGGUAGGAAGGUAAUGGGGCAAUGUAAACAUGGGGGAGAGAUGGGGUAGGAAGGUAGUGGGGCAAUGUAAAAAUGAGGGAGAGAUGGAGAGAGUGGAAGGAAGGUAGUGGGGCAAUGUAAACAUGAGGGAGAGAUGGAGAGAGGGGAAGGAAGGUAGUGGGGCAAUGUAAACAUGGGGGAGAGGGGGGAAGGUAGUGGGGCAAUGUAAACAUGGGGGAGAGAUGGAGAGAGGGGAAGGAAGGUAGUGAGAAAAAGAAGAGCUGUACGGAAGGCUGGAGUGAUGGGGUGAACACUGUCAGAGAAGAAAACGUGGAGAAAGGGAUGGAGAAACAGAUGAGUGUUUCCCAACAACAGGUCAGGACCUAUUGGGUCGCUGCUAUUCCUUUUGGGACACACCUAAACACAAGAUUAAACCCAAACACACUGCUUUGGUUUAUUGGGCAGGCCACAAUACAUUUCAAAUCAGCUUUGAACAUUUGGCUCUAUGAGGCUGUAUGAGGCUGUAUGAGGCUGUAUGAAGCAGUAUGAAGCAGUAUUAGGCAUUCCGUCGUCCUGAACCUUCUUUCAGCAUUCUAGUUCCAGUCUACCUUCCACUGAUCAGACCUCAGCGGCCCAGUAAAUGGUUGAGAUCAGCACAUCACAACUAUCAA
Oncorhynchus tshawytscha (Chinook salmon) is the source of this 750-nucleotide long non-coding RNA. The record is from Ensembl. NCBI's taxonomy places the organism in Eukaryota, Metazoa, Chordata, Actinopteri, Salmoniformes, Salmonidae.